UGAAUUUCAUGUUUUCUUUGAAAAUCAUGAAGCGUUCUCCUUUUUCUACUUCGUCCUUGUAAACGCGUCCAUGACGUGACAUCCACUGUUCGUGUCUCUCAGACACGGAUAGUUUUGGCUGGCUGCCUGCUGUUGUUUGAGAGUUAAACAUGCUAAUUACAAAGAAUAGUGUAAUUAAAAUACUCAUCAAAUCAAUUUUCAUAGCCAUGGUUAGUGUAGAGGGGAAA
This is a long non-coding RNA of Solanum stenotomum, 227 nucleotides long. RefSeq lists it as uncharacterized. NCBI's taxonomy places the organism in Eukaryota, Viridiplantae, Streptophyta, Magnoliopsida, Solanales, Solanaceae. The record is from RefSeq and is a predicted model, not a curated record. The transcript has 2 exons.